This 460-nucleotide ribosomal RNA is filed under the name uncultured bacterium. RNAcentral's name for it is "partial 16S ribosomal RNA". It matches the Rfam family "Bacterial small subunit ribosomal RNA", at positions 338 to 795 of the family's 1533-position model. The record is from RNAcentral.
CCUACGGGGGGCUGCAGUGAGGAAUAUUGGUCAAUGGACGAGAGUCUGAACCAGCCAAGUAGCGUGAAGGAUGACUGCCCUAUGGGUUGUAAACUUCUUUUAUAUGGGAAUAAAAUGUUCCACGUGUGGGAUUUUGUAUGUACCAUAUGAAUAAGGAUCGGCUAACUCCGUGCCAGCAGCCGCGGUAAUACGGAGGAUCCGAGCGUUAUCCGGAUUUAUUGGGUUUAAAGGGAGCGUAGGUGGAUUGUUAAGUCAGUUGUGAAAGUUUGCGGCUCAACCGUAAAAUUGCAGUUGAAACUGGCAGUCUUGAGUACAGUAGAGGUGGGCGGAAUUCGUGGGGUAGCGGUGAAAUGCUGAGAUAUCACGAAGAACUCCGAUUGAGAAGGAAGUUCACUGGACUGCAAAUGACACUGGGGCUCGAAAGUGUGGGUAUCAAACAGGAUUAGAUCCCCCAGUAGUC